This 651-nucleotide ribosomal RNA is filed under the name Myroides odoratimimus. RNAcentral describes it as "partial 23S ribosomal RNA". It matches the Rfam family "Bacterial large subunit ribosomal RNA", at positions 1 to 668 of the family's 2925-position model. Lineage: Bacteria; Pseudomonadati; Bacteroidota; Flavobacteriia; Flavobacteriales; Flavobacteriaceae. The record is from RNAcentral.
AUAAGCAAAAUAAGGGCGUAUGGGGAAUGCCUAGGCUCUCAGAGGCGAAGAAGGACGUGAUAAGCUGCGAAAAGCUACGGGGAUUGGCACACACGAGUUGAUCCGUAGAUAUCCGAAUGGGGCAACCCACUAUAUUGAAGAUAUAGUAUCCUGUAUAGGAGGCGAACCCGCUGAACUGAAACAUCUAAGUAGGCGGAGGAGAAGAAAACAAAAGUGAUUCCGUAAGUAGUGGCGAGCGAACGCGGAAAAGCCCAAACCAAAGUUGUUACGGCAAUUUUGGGGUUGUAGGACCACGACAUUUCUUGCGGAUUUAAUGAGAAUUACCUGGAAAGGUAAACCGAAGAGGGUGAUAGUCCCGUAUUGGUAAGAGAAGAUAAGAAUAGUGGUAUCCUGAGUAGGUCGGGGCACGUGAAACCUUGAUUGAAACUGGCGGGACCAUCCGCUAAGGCUAAAUACUCCUGAGAGACCGAUAGUGAACCAGUACCGUGAGGGAAAGGUGAAAAGAACCGUGAAUAACGGAGUGAAAUAGAUCCUGAAACCAUACGCCUACAAGCGGUCGGAGCUUCUACGUGAAGUGACGGCGUGCCUUUUGCAUAAUGAGCCUACGAGUUACCGUUGCUGGCAAGGAUAAGUGAUUAAGUCAUGGAUCCG